CCUACGGGAGGCAGCAGUGAGGAAUAUUGGACAAUGGGGGCAACCCUGAUCCAGCAAUUCUGUGUGCACGAUGAAGGUUUUCGGAUUGUAAAGUGCUUUCAGCAGGGAAGAAAAAAAUGACGGUAUCUGCAGAAGAAGCGACGGCUAAAUACGUGCCAGCAGCCGCGGUAAUACGUAUGUCGCAAGCGUUAUCCGGAAUUAUUGGGCAUAAAGGGCAUCUAGGCGGCCAGAUAAGUCUGGGGUGAAAACUUGCGGCUCAACCGCAAGCCUGCCCUGGAAACUAUGUGGCUAGAGUACUGGAGAGGUGGACGGAACUGCACGAGUAGAGGUGAAAUUCGUAGAUAUGUGCAGGAAUGCCGAUGAUGAAGAUAGUUCACUGGACGGUAACUGACGCUGAAGUGCGAAAGCUAGGGGAGCAAACAGGAUUAGAUACCCUGGUAGUCCUAGCUGUAAACGAUGAUUACUGGGUGUGGGCAUGAAGAGUGUCCGUGCCGAAGCAAAUGCGAUAAGUAAUCCGCCUGGGGAGUACGACCGCAAGGUUGAAACUCAAAGGAAUUGACGG
RNAcentral lists this ribosomal RNA (562 nucleotides) under uncultured bacterium. Its description in RNAcentral is "bacterial SSU rRNA". It matches the Rfam family "Bacterial small subunit ribosomal RNA", at positions 338 to 916 of the family's 1533-position model. The record is from RNAcentral.